GAUGAACGCUAGCGGCAGGCCUAACACAUGCAAGUCGAGGGAGAAGCCUUUCGGGGCAGAAACCGGCGCACGGGUGCGUAACGCGUAUGCAACCUACCUUUCACAGGGGGAUAGCCCGAAGAAAUUUGGAUUAAUACCCCAUAAUAUUGUUGGAUUGCAUCAUCUGAUAAUUAAAACUGCGGUGGUGAAAGAUGCGCAUGCGUCCUAUUAGCUAGUUGGAGUGGUAACGGCACCCCAAGGCUACGAUAGGUAGGGGUCCUGAGAGGGAGAUCCCCCACACUGGUACUGAGACAGGGACCAGACUCCUACGGGAGGCAGCAGUGAGGAAUAUUGGUCAAUGGUCGGAAGACUGAACCAGCCAUGCCGCGUGCAGGAAGAAUGCCUUAUGGGUUGUAAACUGCUUUUAUAUGGGAAGAAUAAGGUGUACGUGUACAUUGAUGACGGUACCAUAUGAAUAAGCAUCGGCUAACUCCGUG
RNAcentral lists this ribosomal RNA (476 nucleotides) under uncultured bacterium. Its description in RNAcentral is "partial 16S ribosomal RNA". It matches the Rfam family "Bacterial small subunit ribosomal RNA", at positions 28 to 507 of the family's 1533-position model. The record is from RNAcentral.